UCGAAAUGCAUUGAGGCGCAAUAGUUGAUUGUACAUCUAGGGGUAAAGCACUGUUUUGGUGCUGGCCGCGAGAGCGGUACCAAACUCUGAAUACUAGAUAUGAACGCAAAAUAACAAGGGUCGAGGUUGGUUUGUGAGACGAUGGGGGAUAAGCUUCAUCGUUGAGAGGGAAACAGCCCGGACCACCAGCUAAGGCUCCUAAAUAACCGCUUAACAAUAGAGGAGGUAAGAGUGGCAGCCACCCUUGAAAGAGUGCGUAAUAGCUCACCUUAACAACAGAGUGAUUAAUGAUUAAGAGAAUGGUUCAAAUAAUGUUUUUUUUAGUGAAUUGUAAGAGAAUGA
This 342-nucleotide non-coding RNA is filed under the name Gossypium hirsutum (cotton). RNAcentral's name for it is "Bacterial large subunit ribosomal RNA". It matches the Rfam family "Bacterial large subunit ribosomal RNA", at positions 859 to 1232 of the family's 2925-position model. Lineage: Eukaryota; Viridiplantae; Streptophyta; Magnoliopsida; Malvales; Malvaceae. The record is from Rfam by way of RNAcentral.